CGUAGGUGGCAAGCGAUACUCGGAAUCACUAGGCGUAAAGCGCAGGUAGGUGGUUUGGUAAGUCUUUUGUGAAAGCUCCUGGCUCAACUGGGAGAGGUCAAAGGAAACUACCAGACUAGAGUUUGGUAGGGGAUACUGGAAUUCCUGGUGUAGCGGUGAAAUGCGUAGAUAUCAGGAGGAAUACCUAUGGCGAAAGCAGGUAUCUGGGCCAUAACUGACACUGAGCUGCGAAAGCUAGGGGAGCAAACAGGAUUAGAUACCCUGGUAGUCCUAGCCCUAAACGAUGUUCAUUAGAUGUGGGAGGUAUCGACCCCUUCCGCGUCGCAGCUAACGCAUUGAAUGAACCGCCUGGGGAGUACGGCCGCAAGGUUG
This 372-nucleotide ribosomal RNA is filed under the name uncultured organism. RNAcentral describes it as "bacterial SSU rRNA". It matches the Rfam family "Bacterial small subunit ribosomal RNA", at positions 526 to 896 of the family's 1533-position model. The record is from RNAcentral.